GCAAGUCGAACGCUUCUUUUUCACCGGAGCUUGCUCCACCGUGAAAAAGAGGAGUGGCGAACGGGUGAGUAACACGUGGGUAACCUGCCCAUCAGAAGGGGAUAACACUUGGAAACAGGUGCUAAUACCGUAUAACAAUCAAAACCGCAUGGUUUUGAUUUGAAAGGCGCUUUCGGGUGUCGCUGAUGGAUGGACCCGCGGUGCAUUAGCUAGUUGGUGAGGUAACGGCUCACCAAGGCCACGAUGCAUAGCCGACCUGAGAGGGUGAUCGGCCACAUUGGGACUGAGACACGGCCCAAACUCCUACGGGAGGCAGCAGUAGGGAAUCUUCGGCAAUGGACGAAAGUCUGACCGAGCAACGCCGCGUGAGUGAAGAAGGUUUUCGGAUCGUAAAACUCUGUUGUUAGAGAAGAACAAGGAUGAGAGUAACUGUUCAUCCCUUGACGGUAUCUAACCAGAAAGCCACGGCUAACUACGUGCCAGCAGCCGCGGUAAUACGUAGGUGGCAAGCGUUGUCCGGAUUUAUUGGGCGUAAAGCGAGCGCAGGCGGUUUCUUAAGUCUGAUGUGAAAGCCCCCGGCUCAACCGGGGAGGGUCAUUGGAAACUGGGAGACUUGAGUGCAGAAGAGGAGAGUGGAAUUCCAUGUGUAGCGGUGAAAUGCGUAGAUAUAUGGAGGAACACCAGUGGCGAAGGCGGCUCUCUGGUCUGUAACUGACGCUGAGGCUCGAAAGCGUGGGGAGCAAACAGGAUUAGAUACCCUGGUAGUCCACGCCGUAGACGAUGAGUGCUAAGUGUUGGAGGGUUUCCGCCCUUCAGUGCUGCAGCUAACGCAUUAAGCACUCCGCCUGGGGAGUACGACCGCAAGGUUGAAACUCAAAGGAAUUGACGGGGGCCCGCACAAGCGGUGGAGCAUGUGGUUUAAUUCGAAGCAACGCGAAAAACCUUACCAGGUCUUGACAUCCUUUGACCACUCUAGAGAUAGAGCUUCCCCUUCGGGGGCAAAGUGACAGGUGGUGCAUGGUUGUCGUCACCUCGUGUCGUGAGAUGUUGGGUUAAGUCCCGCAACCAGCGCAACCCUUAUUGUUAGUUGCCAUCAUUCAGUUGGGCACUCUAGCAAGACUGCCGGUGACAAACCGGAGGAAGGGGGG
Molecule: ribosomal RNA, 1148 nt
Filed under: Enterococcus faecium
Lineage: Bacteria; Bacillati; Bacillota; Bacilli; Lactobacillales; Enterococcaceae
Description: bacterial SSU rRNA
Rfam family: Bacterial small subunit ribosomal RNA
Source: RNAcentral